UACGGAGGGUGCAAACGUUGCUCGGAAUCAUUGGGCGUAAAGCGCACGUAGGCGGUCCGGCAAGUCGGGUGUGAAAGUCCAGGGCUCAACCCUGGAAGGCCGGUGGAAACUGUCGGGCUAGAGUCCGGAAGAGGCGAGUGGAAUUCCCGGUGUAGCGGUGAAAUGCGCAGAUAUCGGGAGGAACACCAAUGGCGAAGGCAGCUCGCUGGGACGGUACUGACGCUGAGACGCGAAAGCGUGGGGAGCAAACAGG
RNAcentral lists this ribosomal RNA (253 nucleotides) under uncultured bacterium. Its description in RNAcentral is "partial 16S ribosomal RNA". It matches the Rfam family "Bacterial small subunit ribosomal RNA", at positions 524 to 776 of the family's 1533-position model. The record is from RNAcentral.